This 441-nucleotide ribosomal RNA is filed under the name uncultured bacterium. RNAcentral's name for it is "partial 16S ribosomal RNA". It matches the Rfam family "Bacterial small subunit ribosomal RNA", at positions 338 to 795 of the family's 1533-position model. The record is from RNAcentral.
CCUACGGGGGGCAGCAGUCGGGAAUAUUGCGCAAUGGAGGAAACUCUGACGCAGUGACGCCGCGUAUAGGAAGAAGUUCUUCGGAGUGUAAAGCACUGUCGGCAGGGAAGAAAAAGGACAUUACUGAAGGAGGAGGCUCCGGCUAACUACGUGCCAGCAGCCGCGGUAAUAGGUAGGGAGCGAGGGUUAUCCGGAAUUAUUGGGUGUAAAGGGUGCGUAGACGGGAAAACAAGCUAGUUGUGAAAUCCCUCGGCCUAACUGAGGAACUGCAAUUUAAACUGUUUUUCUUGAGUGCAGGAGGGGUAAGUGGAAUUCCUGGUGUAGCGGUGAAAUGCGUAGAUAUUAGGAGGAACACCAGUGGCGAAGGCGACUUACUGGACUGUAACUGACGUUGAGGCACGAAAGUGUGGGGAGCAAACAGGAUUAGAUACCCCAGUAGUC